Molecule: small nucleolar RNA, 124 nt
Organism: Pyrus x bretschneideri (Chinese white pear)
Lineage: Eukaryota; Viridiplantae; Streptophyta; Magnoliopsida; Rosales; Rosaceae
Product: small nucleolar RNA U19
Exons: 1
Source: RefSeq, a predicted model, not a curated record
UUUUGGCUUAGUUAGGAGGCAGAUAUUAAUUUGAUUUGAUUUGAUUUAAUUUAAUUUCAGUGUUUUGUGACCGAGGCCUUUUGGGUUUCUCAAUCGAUUGUCCUCCAAGCAGCCUCACACAUUC